RNAcentral lists this transfer RNA (70 nucleotides) under Asiadodis yunnanensis. RNAcentral describes it as "tRNA-Cys". The record is from RNAcentral. Lineage: Eukaryota; Metazoa; Arthropoda; Insecta; Mantodea; Mantidae.
GGUCUUAUAUUCAUCAUUUAUAGCAUGAUACUAGAAUGCAAUUCUAGAGGAGUAAAGAAUACUAAGGCUU